Molecule: ribosomal RNA, 1204 nt
Filed under: metagenome
Description: bacterial LSU rRNA
Rfam family: Bacterial large subunit ribosomal RNA
Source: RNAcentral
UUGGGGAGAAGGUAUGCCCCUGGUACGUGAAGGCCCUCGCGGCCGGAGCGGAACGGGGUCGCAGAGAAUCGGUGGCUGCGACUGUUUAUUAAAAACACAGCACUCUGCAAACACGAAAGUGGACGUAUAGGGUGUGACGCCUGCCCGGUGCCGGAAGGUUAAGUGAUGGGGUGCAAGCUCUUGAUCGAAGCCCCGGUAAACGGCGGCCGUAACAAUAACGGUCCUAAGGUAGCGAAAUUCCUUGUCGGGUAAGUUCCGACCUGCACGAAUGGCGUAACGAUGGCCACACUGUCUCCUCCUGAGACUCAGCGAAGUUGAAAUGUUUGUGAAGAUGCAAUCUCCCCGCGGCUAGACGGAAAGACCCCAUGAACCUUUACUGUAGCUUUGCAUUGGACCUUGACGGGACUUGUGUAGGAUAGGUGGGAGGCUAUGAAACCGGGACGCCAGUUCCGGUGGAGCCAUCCUUGAAAUACCACCCUGGUGUCGUCGAGGUUCUAACCCAGGCCUGUGAAUCCAGGUCGGGGACCGUGCAUGGUGGGCAGUUUGACUGGGGCGGUCUCCUCCCAAAAGGUAACGGAGGAGUACGAAGGUCACCUAGGUACGGUCGGACAUCGUACUGAUAGUGCAAUGGCAAAAGGUGGCUUGACUGCGAGACCCACAAGUCGAGCAGGUGCGAAAGCAGGUCAUAGUGAUCCGGUGGUUCUGUAUGGAAGGGCCAUCGCUCAACGGAUAAAAGGUACUCUGGGGAUAACAGGCUGAUUCCGCCCAAGAGUUCACAUCGACGGCGGAGUUUGGCACCUCGAUGUCGGCUCAUCACAUCCUGGGGCUGUAGCCGGUCCCAAGGGUAUGGCUGUUCGCCAUUUAAAGUGGUACGUGAGCUGGGUUUAAAACGUCGUGAGACAGUUUGGUCCCUAUCUGCCGUGGGCGCUGGAAGUUUGAGAGGGCCUGCUCCUAGUACGAGAGGACCGGAGUGGACGCACCCCUGGUGUACCGGUUGUGACGCCAGUCGCAUCGCCGGGUAGCUAUGUGCGGAAGAGAUAACCGCUGAAAGCAUCUAAGCGGGAAACUCGCCUCAAGAUGAGACUUCCCCGGGGCCUCGAGCCCCCUGAAGGGUCGUUGAAGACCACAACGUUGAUAGGCCGGGUGUGUGAGCGUGGCAACACGUUCAGCUAACCGGUACUAAUUGCCCGUGUGGCUUGAUCCU